GCAUAUCAAUAAGCGGAGGAAAAGAAACCAACAGGGAUUGCCCUAGUAACGGCGAGUGAAGCGGCAACAGCUCAAAUUUGAAAUCUGGCUCUUUCAGGGUCCGAGUUGUAAUUUGCAGAGGGCGCUUUGGUGUUGGCAGCGGUCCAAGUUCCUUGGAACAGGACGUCACAGAGGGUGAGAAUCCCGUACGUGGUCGCUAGCCUCCGCCGUGUAAAGCCCCUUCGACGAGUCGAGUUGUUUGGGAAUGCAGCUCUAAAUGGGAGGUAAAUUUCUUCUAAAGCUAAAUACUGGCCAGAGACCGAUAGCGCACAAGUAGAGUGAUCGAAAGAUGAAAAGCACUUUGGAAAGAGAGUCAAAUAGCACGUGAAAUUGUUGAAAGGGAAGCGCUUGCAGCCAGACUUGCCUGUAGUUGCUCAUCCGGGCUUUUGCCCGGUGCACUCUUCUAUAGGCAGGCCAGCAUCAGUUUGGGCGGUUGGAUAAAGGUCUCUGUCAUGUACCUCUCUUCGGGGAGGCCUUAUAGGGGAGACGACAUGCAACCAGCCUGGACUGAGGUCCGCGCAUUUGCUAGGAUGCUGGCGUAAUGGCUGUAAGCGGCCCGUCUUGAAACACGGACCAAGGAGUCUAACAUCUAUGCGAGUGUUUGGGUGUCAAGCCCGAACGCGUAAUGAAAGUGAACGGAGGUGGGAACCCCUUUGGGGCGCACCAUCGACCGAUCCUGAUGUCUUCGGAAGGAUUUGAGUAAGAGCAUGGCUGUUGGGACCCGAAAGAUGGUGAACUAUGCUUGAAUAGGGUGAAGCCAGAGGAAACUCUGGUGGAGGCUCGCAGCGGUUCUGACGUGCAAAUCGAUCGUCAAAUUUGGGCAUAGGGGCGAAAGACUAAUCGAACUAUCUAGUAGCUGGGUUCCUGCCGAAG
Molecule: ribosomal RNA, 912 nt
Filed under: Sphaerellopsis filum
Lineage: Eukaryota; Fungi; Ascomycota; Dothideomycetes; Pleosporales; Leptosphaeriaceae
Description: LSU rRNA
Rfam family: Eukaryotic large subunit ribosomal RNA
Source: RNAcentral